This 279-nucleotide ribosomal RNA is filed under the name Triticum aestivum (bread wheat). RNAcentral's name for it is "partial small subunit ribosomal RNA". The record is from RNAcentral. Lineage: Eukaryota; Viridiplantae; Streptophyta; Magnoliopsida; Poales; Poaceae.
AUGAGGGCGGUGAGCGGCGCGGUGGUCUCGUCGAAGCCGGUGGGCUUACGCAAGGCCGCGCGCGUGUUCAGCCGCUUCGCGGCCAGAGACGCGUCGGCGCUGCCCGCCGGCGCGGGCGCGCUGGUCCUCUGCGCGGCCGAGGCCGCCGCCGAGCUCCACGCCUUCCGCUGCGCCCGCGUGGGUCCCGACGGCGAGGCUGAGGCGGAGGUGGCGCCGGGUGGCCAGGAGCGGCGCAAGAAGAGGAGGAAGACGGGGCGCGAAGGUGUGUCACUAGAGUAG